CACGUAGGGCGCGAGCGUUGUCCGGAAUUAUUGGGCGUAAAGAGCUCGUAGGCGGCCUGUUGCGUCCGCUGUGAAAGCCCGGGGCUUAACCCCGGGUCUGCAGUGGAUACGGGCAGGCUAGAGGUAGGUAGGGGAGAAUGGAAUUCCCGGUGUAUCGGUGAAAUGCGCAGAUAUCGGGAGGAACACCGGUGGCGAAGGCGGUUCUCUGGGCCUGUACUGACGCUGAGGAGCGAAAGCGUGGGGAGCGAACAGG
Molecule: ribosomal RNA, 253 nt
Filed under: uncultured bacterium
Lineage: Bacteria
Description: partial 16S ribosomal RNA
Rfam family: Bacterial small subunit ribosomal RNA
Source: RNAcentral